AAGUCGUAACAAGGUUUCCGUAGGUGAACCUGCGGAAGGAUCAUUAUCCCAGGCGCACACCCGGUGUCUCCGGGCCCGACCCCAUCCCGCAAGGGGGGCUCUCAAAAAAAAAGAGAGGAUUUCGGGAGAGGCCCGCAGCAUGAGGAGCGCUGUCCUUACACCCACCCUUUGCCUAUGUGUACCCCUAUCGCUUCCUCGGCAGGCUCACCCCUGCCGAUGGAACCAACCAAACCCUUUUGCAUUUUACAAGAAAACUUCUGAUACAAAACCUAAAUUAUUACAACUUUUAACAAUGGAUCUCUUGGUUCUG
This 310-nucleotide unclassified non-coding RNA is filed under the name air metagenome. RNAcentral describes it as "partial contains small subunit ribosomal RNA, internal transcribed spacer 1, and 5.8S ribosomal RNA". The stretch from base 1 to 46 matches the Rfam family "Eukaryotic small subunit ribosomal RNA", at positions 1786 to 1831 of the family's 1831-position model. The record is from RNAcentral.